UGGUAGUCCACGCCGUAAACGAUGUCGAUUUGGAGGUUGUGCCCUUGAGGCGUGGCUUCCGGAGCUAACGCGUUAAAUCGACCGCCUGGGGAGUACGGCCGCAAGGUUAAAACUCAAAUGAAUUGACGGGGGCCCGCACAAGCGGUGGAGCAUGUGGUUUAAUUCGAUGCAACGCGAAGAACCUUACCUGGUCUUGACAUCCACAGAACUUAGCAGAGAUGCUUUGGUGCCUUCGGGAACUGUGAGACAGGUGCUGCAUGGCUGUCGUCAGCUCGUGUUGUGAAAUGUUGGGUUAAGUCCCGCAACGAGCGCAACCCUUAUCCUUUGUUGCCAGCGGUCCGGCCGGGAACUCAAAGGAGACUGCCAGUGAUAAACUGGAGGAAGGUGGGGAUGACGUCAAGUCAUCAUGGCCCUUACGACCAGGGCUACACACGUGCUACAAUGGCAUAUACAAAGAAGCGACCUCGCGAG
This 471-nucleotide ribosomal RNA is filed under the name Klebsiella pneumoniae. RNAcentral's name for it is "bacterial SSU rRNA". It matches the Rfam family "Bacterial small subunit ribosomal RNA", at positions 788 to 1261 of the family's 1533-position model. Lineage: Bacteria; Pseudomonadati; Pseudomonadota; Gammaproteobacteria; Enterobacterales; Enterobacteriaceae. The record is from RNAcentral.